Long non-coding RNA from Xiphophorus couchianus (Monterrey platyfish), 3555 nucleotides. RefSeq lists it as uncharacterized. The record is from RefSeq and is a predicted model, not a curated record. The transcript is spliced from 2 exons. Lineage: Eukaryota; Metazoa; Chordata; Actinopteri; Cyprinodontiformes; Poeciliidae.
AACACAAAAGGUCUCAAGAGUUUCUUGUAACAAACCAAAACUUUGAGAACUAACUAGAAAAACUAUUUUCUUGAUUGUAUAUAGCUUAAAUCAUGCCAAUCUAUCCACAGGCCAAAAUAUCCUUGACAGACAUAAGUUUAAAGUAAUCUUUCUUCUGUCAAUAGAAAAUCAGGCUACAGAGCGUCCAGACAGAGGGUCUGGGCUCUCGGCUGUUGAGAAACAAUUAGAAUAGAAUAGAAUUACUUUAUUCAUCCCAGCAGGGAAAUUACUUCGCAGUUACAGCAUCUCUAUGCUGUAGAGAUGCUGUACAACAACAACCACCACUGAGUAGCAGUUGUAGACAAAAUAAAAAUGUAAAUUUUUUUCUUUAAAAUUACUCUCUGGAGGUGUGAACUCUGUUGAUGUUUUAACUUUUGCCCAAUUGCGGAUGUUUGAAUGUGACGUAUGUAAUGUACAAGUUUGAUACUAAGAAGCUUACUGGAACUCGCCUGCACUGUAAACGGUUGUUUACAGUGCAGGCAAUGGUUAUCCUCCACUGCAAAAAGUGAAGUGUUGAGCUGAACAAGGCAGCUGCUAAUGUUAGUUCAAGUUGCAUUCUGAGGAUCUGAUAGAGGCGAUCUCUGCCACUGUCUGCAUGUUGGUUCAUUCAGCAAAGUCAGAGAGCCGCUGCUGAGUCAGUGGAGCAUCCUGCUGCAAAUUGGGGCGGAGGAGCAGCGGGUGGGUGCAUUGAAUUUAACUACUCAAAUGGGAUUUGUUCAUAAUAAGUUGUUUAAUGAUGUGCCAAAAGCAUAGUUGUGGUCAAUGUAAUAAUUUGCCUCCUAUAAGUACUGCUAACCUGAUCAUCAGCACCAGCUUUGCUUAUUAUCAGCCCAAUGAAUGGCAGUUAUUAAUGGUGAAGAACGGAAAAAAAAGCAGGACCCAACUUUGUCCAACUUUCCAGACCACUUUUGCUCUGCUGCUGACGAAUAAGUCAGCAGCAGAUGAAUGUUCUGCUUCUGCUUCUUCUUCUUUUUCCUCCAUCCAUCUUCCGCUUAUCCGGGGUCGGGUCGCAGGGGCACACUGGGAAGGCAUUCCCAGUCCAGCUGAGAAACAUAGUCCCUCCAACGUUCUGGGUUGGAGGGAUCUCCCCGGGGUCUCCUCCUGGUGGGAAGUGCCCGGAAGAGUGCCCAGGGAGGCAUCCAGGAGCCAUCAUAACCAGAUGCCCGAGUCACCUCAACUGGCUCCUCUCGACGUGAAGGAGCAGCAGCUCUACUCUGAAUCCCUCUCGGAUGGCCGAGCUUCUCACCCUAUCUCUAAGGGAGAGCCAGCGGAGAAAACUGAUUUAGGCCACUUGUAUCCAUGACCUCGUUCUUUCGGUCAUGACCUAAAGCUCAUGACCAUAGACGAAGGUAGGAACGUAGAGCGACCGGUAAACUCGGCUCUCUCUUUACCAUGACAGACCGGUAUAGCACCCGCUUCGCUGCAGAUGCUGCGCCAAUCUGUCUGUCGAUCUCCUACUCCAUUUUUCCCUCAUUCGUGAACAAGGUCCUGAGAUAAUUAAACUUCUCCACUUGGGGCAGGACAUCCCCCCUGUCCUGGAGAAGGCACUCUAAACUUUUCCUGCUCAAGAUCAUGGCCUCAGAUUUGGAGGCACUGAUCCUCAUCCUGGCUGCUUCACACUCGGCUGCGAACCGCUCCAGCGAAAGCUGUAGAUUACUACCUGAUGAAGCCAAUAGGACCGCAUCAACCGGGACUUCUCUGUGGCAGCUGAAGGAGGAACAGCUUAUCGUGCUCUCUCUCGUCCUUACUUAUAACUUUGCCUUUGAACCAGGACAAAAUGCCUCCGGCCAACCCCAAGGACAUUAGCAGUAUUAUACAACGACUUCAGUCUAUAGAAAUGAAGAUUAAAAUGCUGGAGGUGAACUUUGAGAUCAACUCUACCUGAGGAAAUGAGACAACUCUUCCUCAAUUCAACGAAGAGGUCGUACGCACCGCAUCAAGCAGCCCACCCUGGAACGCUCUGGGUGCCAAGAUGAAGCAAAUGUCUCACACCGCAGAUCCGAUGAGGCAACUGACAGGGAGAACCCCUCACCUGGACGAAUCAGCGUGUCCGGCUCUGAGCCGAAACCCACCUUCAACCUCAACACCUGCUCUACCAAAGAAAAAUAAACAAGCAGCUGAAACCAAAACGGUUCCACCGACCGCGCUCCCAAGGACAAAGCGACCAGCCUGGGCCUCAAAACAUUCUGACUCUGUGGGAAUCCCACUGAAAAACAGAUUUUCUGUACUCCAGCCUGAGCUUCUGAGUGAGACCUCGCCUUCAAACAUCAACAAUGAGGCAAGACCAACACAUCCACCCCCCAAAGCUCCUAAGGACAAAGCGGCUACCAGGAAAACGAAAGGUAUCCCAAAAGUGCUUAUUGUUGGAGAUGAGGCAGUAAAUGGAAUCAGUCACGUUUGCAAUCCCAAGAAAACAAGAGUGAUUUCUUUUCCUGGUGACACUGUACUCUCUCUAACUACUGAUCAGCCAGAUAUUGAGACUUUAGUUGUGCAUGUUGGAGCCAACGAUCUGGCAAAGCAGAAAUAUGAGAUUCUGAUAAAGGACUUUAAUAUUCUUCUGAACACUAUGGGAAAAUUAAAAAUGAAGUUAUUUCUCAGUGGUCCAAUUCCAUCACCUCAAUGGGGAGACGAAAAACACUCCAGGCUGAACAUGAUAAACAAAUGGCUGAUUAAAACCUGCUCUGCCAGCUCAGUGACCUUCAUCGAUAACCUCUGGAUCUAUUGGUAGCACUUUCACCUUUUUGGAAGAGACAGACGCAAUCUUAAUAAACAUGGGACAAAGCUACUAACUGCAAAUCUUUUUCAUCUUAUCAAGGACAGCAAUGUGAUCAUCGCUUCAGAAGAACAGGCUCAAGGAUGUCUGACUAGGAUGGAACCCUGCGCUUAUCAGGAGCAAACCGUUCCAAAACAUGCUGAUACAUCGACUGAAGAUGGAGCGACUGGUUCCCUUCCUCUUUCCCCCCUCCCUCUCUGCUCACCCACUCAUUCACAGGAUUCACAAGAUGCCCAUAAAGAAAUGUCUUCUGGACCGGAGUUUCUUACAUUUACAGAUGGAAUGAAUCAACAGGUUCGCUUCGGCACAUCCCAGAGGAUCCAUCACUCUGCAUUUCUGAGGUCUGAGGCCGGGGUCCAGAUUUUAUCUUUACACCCGUCUUACUCCAGAAUGUGUCUGGCCCCCCGGCACUGCAAAACAGGACAUUACCUGUCCGGAUAACUACAGAAAAUUUACAAAAAACAGAAACAUAAAAUACAGCGGACCUAAUUCAAACCUCAGACUGUUCCACUGCCUAAAGGAACCUCAGACUGAAGAACUUUUGGCCUCAAUUCACUUAAACUAGCUCUUUCAAAUACCAGAUCUCUCUGUGCUAAAGCUCUAUUAAUUAAUGAUUUCAUCACUGAGCAUAAUAUCGAUGUUAUGUCUCUGACAGAAAUAUGGUUGAAUGACAAUAAUGAACCAAUCGUACUAAUUGAAUCAGCGGCUCCUAACUACAAUUUCUUAAGUGAGAAUAGAAAACA